Molecule: ribosomal RNA, 390 nt
Filed under: uncultured bacterium
Lineage: Bacteria
Description: bacterial SSU rRNA
Rfam family: Bacterial small subunit ribosomal RNA
Source: RNAcentral
UCGAACGAAGUAGCAAUACUUAGUGGCAGACGGGUGAGUAACAUGUAGGUAUCUUCCCAUUGGUGAGGAAUAACACGAGGAAACUUGUGCUAAUACCUCAUAAGUCUUUACGGAGAAAGCUUUAUGCGCCAAUGGAUGAGCCUGCACUUGAUUAGUUUGUUGGUAGGGUAAUGGCCUACCAAGACAAUGAUCAAUAGCUGAUUUGAGAGGAUGAUCAGCCACAUUGGGACUGAGACACGGCCCAAACUCCUACGGGAGGCAGCAGUAGGGAAUCUUGCACAAUGGGGGAAACCCUGAUGCAGCGAUGCCGCGUGAGUGAAGAAGGCCUUUGGGUUGUAAAGCUCUUUCGUCGGGGAAGAAAAUGACUGUACCCGAAUAAGAAGGUCCGGC